RNAcentral lists this ribosomal RNA (468 nucleotides) under uncultured bacterium. RNAcentral's name for it is "partial 16S ribosomal RNA". It matches the Rfam family "Bacterial small subunit ribosomal RNA", at positions 28 to 507 of the family's 1533-position model. The record is from RNAcentral.
GACGAACGCUGGCGGCGCGCCUAACACAUGCAAGUCGAACGGAGCUGAGAGAAGCUUGCUUUUCUUAGCUUAGUGGCGAACGGGUGAGUAACGCGUGAGUAACCUGCCCUGGAGUGGGGGACAACAGUUGGAAACGACUGCUAAUACCGCAUAAGCCCACGAUCCGGCAUCGGAUUGAGGGAAAAGGAUUUAUUCGCUUCAGGAUGGACUCGCGUCCAAUUAGCUAGUUGGUGAGGUAACGGCCCACCAAGGCGACGAUUGGUAGCCGGACUGAGAGGUUGAACGGCCACAUUGGGACUGAGACACGGCCCAGACUCCUACGGGAGGCAGCAGUGGGGGAUAUUGCACAAUGGGGGAAACCCUGAUGCAGCGACGCCGCGUGGAGGAAGAAGGUUUUCGGAUUGUAAACUCCUGUCGUUAGGGACGAAAAUGACGGUACCUAACAAGAAAGCACCGGCUAACUACGUG